Molecule: long non-coding RNA, 555 nt
Organism: Alligator sinensis (Chinese alligator)
Lineage: Eukaryota; Metazoa; Chordata; Crocodylia; Alligatoridae
Exons: 4
Source: RefSeq, a predicted model, not a curated record
GGCAACCUACAACAAGCAGUUUUUGUGACUUGAUAUCAAGAAUGUUUGACCCCUAUCUGCUUUAGCUGCACUACUAUCACUUGUUCAGCUGCACCCUGCGGGUCAAGGGCUAUAAGAUAGUUACUAUUUUUUCUAGUGUUGACAAGACCUAGCAGUUAGUGAACUGUCCUGUCAGUCAUUGAACAGUCCUGCUUGAGACAAUAGACCUCCACACCACAGAGCCCUUCACUGUGCCUUUAAAGGACAAUUUAUCCUUGUGAUACAAGGUAGUCUUGCCUGAAGAUUCACUUGUUUUAGGUGUUUUUUCCAGUCUUUUCCCUGUGGGAGAUUCCACUUUCCAUUGGAGGAAUAUCAAGGGCCUGGAGCGAUUCAGAGUAGAGGCUACUUUAUUUUCAGGCCACGCAAUGGAAGGAGAUCAGCAGGUUUCCGCUAAAAAGAAUUUUUGAUUCCUGACCUAGAAUCACUGCUGUGGGAACACAGAGUAUAUGGACAAAAUGAAUUUCCCCACAAAAAUUACUCUUUACUAUUUGUACAAUUCUUAAAAAUCACUAGAAU